CAGCAGCCGCGGUAAUACAGAGGCCUCAAGCGUUGUUCGGAUUCAUUGGGCGUAAAGGGAGCGUAGGCGGUCGGGUAAGUGGGAUGUGAAAUCCUGGGGCUCAACCUCAGAACUGCAUUCCAUACUGCUUGGCUAGAGUAUUGGAGAGGUGAGUGGAAUUCACGGUGUAGCAGUGAAAUGCGUAGAUAUCGUGAGGAAGACCAGCGGCGAAGGCGGCUCACUGGACAAUUACUGACGCUGAUGCUCGAAGGCCAGGGGAGCAAACGGGAUUAGAUACCCCAGUAGUCCCUGUCUCUUAUAC
RNAcentral lists this ribosomal RNA (301 nucleotides) under uncultured bacterium. RNAcentral's name for it is "partial 16S ribosomal RNA". It matches the Rfam family "Bacterial small subunit ribosomal RNA", at positions 509 to 807 of the family's 1533-position model. The record is from RNAcentral.